UGCGUAGGCGGAUAUUUAAGUCAGAUGUGAAAUUCCAGGGCUCAACCUUGGAACUGCAUUUGAAACUGGAUAUCUAGAGUGCAGGAGAGGAAAGCGGAAUUCCUAGUGUAGCGGUGAAAUGCGUAGAGAUUAGGAAGAACACCAGUGGCGAAGGCGGCUUUCUGGACUGUAACUGACGCUGAGGCACGAAAGCGUGGGGAGCAAACAGGAUUAGAUACCCUGGUAGUCCACGCUGUAAACGAUGAGUGCUAGGUGUGGGGGGAUUUCGACAUCCUCUGUGUCGCAGUAAACGCAAUAAGCACUCCGCCUGGGGAGUACGGUCGCAAGACUAAA
Molecule: ribosomal RNA, 333 nt
Filed under: uncultured bacterium
Lineage: Bacteria
Description: bacterial SSU rRNA
Rfam family: Bacterial small subunit ribosomal RNA
Source: RNAcentral